GACGAACGCUGGCGGCGUGCUUAAUACAUGCGAGUUAAGCGGUGAAGGUUAGUACUUGUACCAACUGGGUGAGCAGCGAACGGGUGAGUCACGCGUGGGGUACCUCCCUUUGAGCGGGAGCCAACAUAAGGAAACGCAAGCUAAUACUGCAUAAAAACUUUAACCACAAGUAUUAAGGUAGAAAGAUGCAAUUGCAUCACUCAAUGAUGACCCAUCGGUUGAUUAGCUAGUUAGUGGGGUACAAGGUCACCAAGGCGAUGAUACAGAGCCGACCUGAGCGGGAGGUCGGGCACAUCGGGACUGGGAAUCGGCCCAAACUCCUACGGGAGGCAGCAGUAGGGAAUCCUCGGCGAUGGACGAAAGUCUGACCGAGCAACGCCGGAUGAGUGAAGAAGGUUUUCGGAUCGUAAAAAUCUGUUUGUAGGGAAGAACGAUGGUGAUAGUGGAAAGCGCAUCAAGUGACGGUAACUACCCAGAAAGGGACGGCUAACUACGUG
RNAcentral lists this ribosomal RNA (497 nucleotides) under uncultured bacterium. RNAcentral describes it as "partial 16S ribosomal RNA". It matches the Rfam family "Bacterial small subunit ribosomal RNA", at positions 28 to 507 of the family's 1533-position model. The record is from RNAcentral.